UGAGGAACAUGACCUUCGGCGGGGGAUAGCCGGCCCAACGGCCGGGUAAUACCGCGUACGACCACAUGGGGACAUCCCUGAGUGGUGAAAGCAGCAAUGCGCCGAUGGAGUGCCUCGCGGCCUAUCAGCUAGUUGGUGAGGUAAUGGCUCACCAAGGCGACGACGGGUAGCUGGCCUGAGAGGAUGGCCAGCCACAUUGGGACUGAGACACGGCCCAGAUCCUACGGGG
This 229-nucleotide ribosomal RNA is filed under the name uncultured bacterium. RNAcentral's name for it is "partial 16S ribosomal RNA". It matches the Rfam family "Bacterial small subunit ribosomal RNA", at positions 118 to 346 of the family's 1533-position model. The record is from RNAcentral.